Molecule: ribosomal RNA, 195 nt
Filed under: uncultured bacterium
Lineage: Bacteria
Description: partial 16S ribosomal RNA
Rfam family: Bacterial small subunit ribosomal RNA
Source: RNAcentral
CCUACGGGAGGCAGCAGUGGGGAAUUUUGGACAAUGGGGGAAACCCUGAUCCAGCCAUUCCGCGUGCGGGAAGAAGGCCUUCGGGUUGUAAAGCACUUUAAGCGAGGAGGAGGCUACUUUGGUUAAUACCCAGAGAUAGUGGACGUUACUCGCAGAAUAAGCACCGGCUAACUCUGUGCCAGCAGCCGCGGUAAU